UAUUCAGGCUCUCUUUCAUUUCCAGAGGCAGUUGCGAUGAGAAAUUGGAUGCUAUCCAGUUUGGAUUUAUAAGGAAGCAGAAAAGGAGAUAAUGGCGGAAAGGCCAGUGGGCCACAGUGUUUUAAUAUGAGUCUGCUCUAAUCCUGUGACCUUACAUAUGCACUUGAAAAGAACUGUAGGCAACCUGGCUUUGUUUGCUACCAUGGAACUACUGCAGGGGACUGAAGAAGGAAGCCAUUUGCUUUGCAGUAAGUUUUGGUCACGUCAGUUAAACCCACCUAAAAGAAGGAGGAAGAAAGAGAAAAAUGACUGUUCAGUGAACCUCAGGAGAAUUAUGAAGUUAUACAGCCUCAGAAGGAUUUUAGGCAGUUUUAUAUUGCCCAGCUCAGCUCACAUUUAUAUCAUCUGUCUCAGUGCCUGAAAUGAGAUAAGCUAUGUGCUUGAUAGAGAAAAGGACUUCUACUGACUGAUGUAUCUAAGAAAUCUGUUUUAGAUAUGGCUGGAUGAAACAGAAAAGAGGGCUUCUAGAUGCACAGAAGAUGAACUUUGCUAUAAUAUAUCUCAUGUAAGAAAGAACUAGAUAAUGCUCAAAAAAAAAAAUUGUACAUGGAAGAAAACAGAGAAUCAGUAAAGAGCAAGGAAUUUUCAUAAAAGUUAAACAUUUCCAUGUGAACUUAUUUAUGUCCAAAUUACUUCUUGAACUUGGAGGAGGAAAACUUGCAGCAAUCUGGAAAGUUGUGCUGUAAAUUUAACUGCUAUUCUAGACAAAAACAUAAACAUAUCCUAAUUCAGUGUAAUUAUCCAACUGUGCAUGGAUUUUGACUGUGAGACACUGAGAAAGUCUUCUAAGGAUCUGGAGAUAUUCUGAAGCAUAAUGUUCUGCCAGUGAAGAUUUAUCUACAGUUUCACCUGAUAAGAUUUUUCAUCUUGUUUUGAACAGCAUAAUUUACCAUACUCAGCGUGCUGUAUUGCAUUCAUAUAUGUAGAGAAGAACUGGAUUGAUUAUCUUCAGGCUUCAUGACACUAAACUCAGCAAAUUAGCUGCUCAUGAUUCCAGCAAAUGACUGUUUUUUUUUUUUUUUUUUUUUUUUUCCUAGUGCUCCAGGAGAGAUUGAACUGUAAAGCUUUAGCUGGGAAGCUAAGAACUUAUUUAGAAACUACUGAAAGAGGAAAUAAAUAUGUAGCUGUUGUUAUAAUUAGUAAAGUAGUGCAGCAAUAUAUGAGAUGGUUAUGAUAUCUCAAAGAAAUUAAGCUCCAUUUCUCAGGGCAUUUUUUUCUGUAGAGGUAGAUCGGCUGAUGUGUUUCACAUUCAAUGGCAAUAUCCAGCUUUAGCGGAGCUGAUGGAGGCUGGUCUGCUUCCCUGCAGUCCCCAGAAAGGACCUUGAACAUAUCCUCAUCGAAUUCAUUGCAUAAUGUGGGAAGGAUGAGAUGUCCUUCAGCCAACAAGGGUUUACCAAGAGCAACCCAUGCUUGGCUAACCUGUCUCAUCUCCAUGCUGACAUAAGAGCCUACAUGGACUUUCCCCAACCUCCUCCUCUGAAAGCCAAGGAGGCUGGGUUGGAUGAUUAGCCCCUUAGUGUGGUCCAAUCUUGCCUGAGAGGUUCUCUGGAAAGGAAAUGAUAAAACUAUGGAGCCAAACUCUUGUCGGUGCUGUCAGCUGGGAAACAGCCAGACAUUAUAGAGACUUCCUGACUAGGCAGCACUGGACCAGGUCACCCAGAGUAACUGUGACAUCUCCAGACUUGGGAAAUUUAAAGACCCACUCAGAAAGCCACUGCUGACCUGAUAUCAUGCUGGUGACAGUCAUGCAUCAGGCAGGAGAUUGCACUUAAGAGUCCUCCAGAGGUCCUUUCCAGUCCAUACUUCUACUAAUAUGAUUAUGUGAAAAGAAAAAAAAUAAAAAAGUUUAAAAAAGAAGGGAAAAAAAAGGAAAAAAUGUGGGAUUUGAACCCCAGAGUUUUAAUCUUUGGACAUACACCAACACUAUUUUGUUUUGAAAGUGUAUUCCACAGUUAAAUAUAUCAAAUUUUGUUCCCAUUUUCAAAAAAAAUGCUAGGAUCAAGGAACAAUAACUUCAGUCAUAAAAUAAGAUAGAAAUCAGGCCAAAAUAUUUUGGUUUAGGUUAUCCAGGACCAGGUAGGAUAGAAAACUGAUCUGAGACAUGAGGAGAUCUGUGAACCCAUCAAAGAGAGAAAUUCUGAUGCAGCAAGCUGAAAACAUCAGGAGCCAACACUGAUAAACCCAAUAUCCAUUCCAAGAUCUUCAAAGUAAAAGACCUGUUUCAUUCCUAACAUUAGAAUUAUACAAUUAUAUACACAGACUGUAUAUGGAGACUAUAAAAAACUAUAUAAAAGAACAAGAAUCUUUACAUAUUGAACUAUACCGAGCACCUUAUAACUGCAGCACAGACAGCAGAUGCAUUUAUUGAUACUAUUCAUAUUAUUUCUUGAGCAACCUCGGAGGUCAGUCUCUGAGGUAGUAUCAUAAAGUCGGAGGACCUGACAUUACUGGCAUUAAUCCUUUGUCUCGGGUGGGAUAUGGUGGCAGAGUAAACAACAGGGGACUAGAUAGAGGAGAUGGAAGAAAAGGAUUCACACAUCAAUUAUUCUUGUCUUAUUGCUGUAGUACUUUGUCAUGGACAAGGCACACAAUUAAAGUGCUUUAAAAACA
Molecule: long non-coding RNA, 2670 nt
Organism: Tyto alba (common barn owl)
Lineage: Eukaryota; Metazoa; Chordata; Aves; Strigiformes; Tytonidae
Exons: 4
Source: RefSeq, a predicted model, not a curated record